GUUACCAUAUUGCCCAGGCUGGUUUCAAACUUCUGGGCUCAAGCAGUCCUCCCACCUUGGCCUCUCAAAGUGCUGGGAUUAUAGUCAUCAGCUACCACACCCAGCCUAUUUCAAGAAAUUUUUCAGUUUCCUUCUGAAUUUCUUCAUUGGCACACUUGUCAUUCCAGAGCAUGUUGUUUAAUUUCCAUAUGUUUGUAUAGUUUCCAAAGUUCCUCUGGUUAUUGGUUUCUAGUUUUAUUCUAUUCUAUUAUGGUCAGAGAAGAUACUUGAAUCAGAUUUCAAUUUUGGGGGAUUUUUUAAGACUUAUUUUGUGGCCUAACAUGUGGUCUAUCCUUGAGAAUAAUCCAUGUGCUGAGGAGAAGAAUGUGUAUUCUGCAGCUGUUGGAUGAAAUGCUCUAUAAAUAUAGGUCCAUUUGGUGUAUAGUGCAGAUUAAGUCUGAUGUUUCUUUGUUGAUUCUCUGUCUGGGAGAUCUGUCCAAUGCUGUAAAUGGGGUGUCGAGUCUCCAGCUAUUGUUGUAUUGGGUUCUAUCUCUCUCUUUAGCUCUAACAAUAUUUGCUUUAUAUAUCUAGGUUCUCCAGUGUUGGGGACAUAUAUAUGUGUGUGUAUAUAUGGGAAGAUGAAGAAGCUCUGGAGAUGGAUGUUGUGAUAGUGGCACAAUAAUAUGAAUGUACUUAAUGCCACAAAGCUUUUACACUUAAAAACAGUUUAAAUAGGGCCGGGUGCGGUGGCUCAAGCCUUUAAUCCCAGCACUUUGGGAGGCCAGGGCAGGCGGAUCACGAGGUCAAGAGUUCAAGACCAUUCUGGCUAACACGGUGAAACUCCAUCUCUACUAAAAAUACAAAAAAAAAAAUUAGGCGUGGUGGCUGGCGCCUGUGGUCCCAGCUCCUCGGGAGGCUGAGGCAGGAGAAUGGCAUGAACUAGGGAGGUGGAGUGUGCAGUGAGCUAAGAUUGCGCAACUGCACUCCAGCCUGGGCGACAGAGCAAGACUCUGUCUAAAAAAAAAACAAAAAACAAAGAACAAAAACAGUUUAAUAAAUUGUACGUUACGUAAACUAAACACAUUUUAGACAAUCUGUAAGAGAAAUGAAGGCAAUCGAGGCUGUUUUCACAAGUCCUUGGCUUUAGUAUGAUAGCUUCCAAGUUGAACCUGAUGAGCCUGACCUCCUUGUAUUAAUGUUUCCAUACGCUGGAUUGGAAUAACUUGUGCAACCAGUGGGAUAUGUCAGAAGUGACCAGAAAUGAGUGGGCUGCCAUGUUGUGAGGACACUCACAGCCUGUGAAGAGGUCUAAUGAUGAGGAAGUGAGGCCUCCAGCCAACAGCCAGUGUUAACUUGCCAACCAUGUGAGAAGCUACCUUGGAAGGAGAUCCUCCAGCAGCCCCUCUCAUGAGAGAGGUCAAGCCAGAGCUAACCUGCUAAACUCCUAAAUUCCUGAACCACAGAAACUGUGAGAUAAUGGUUAUUGUUUUAAGCCAUUAUGUUUUGAGGCCAUAUGUUAUACAGGAAUUGAAAACUAAUACAGAUAGUAUGAAGGCUUCUUUCAUCAACUGCCUGAGGUUGGUGGUGUCUUCAGUCAUUUAUAUAGAUCUAUUUGUUUCUGGAUAAUAUUACAGCUAUUUAAAGAUAUUUUGUGGCUCUAUUUAGAUACAGCUACAUUCGCCUUUAUAUGUUUUGAAUACCCAGUAAGUAACUUGAAAAUAUUUCCUGAUAUUGGAGGGAGGGGCAUUGCUGAAUUUCAGAAAGUUAAGGCUAGUAAGAGCUAUGACUAAUAUAAUACAUCUUGUUGGAUACUGUGAAUGCUUUUCAUUUAAUUCUGUAGGUAAAGGAAAUAGAAUCUGAAGGAAGGCCAGUGUUUUAAGUCUUCUUACUCUAACGUGAAUGAAUUCAUUAGACAUAUUUAUAUUUUAAAAAAAAGAGGAAGCAAAAUAAAAUAAGGGGGCAAAAUAAGCAAAGCCAACUUAAGAAUUUUUUAAGGGCCAAAUCCAGUUAUCUUGGCUCUGUAUGUGUGUACCUACCUAAAAUUCUAAUCUCUGUAUCUGUGAGUCUCCAGUUUUUCAACCCAAGCUUGACGAGUUGUGGGACCUCCUCCAAAUGUUUCAACAGGCUGCUCAGGCUGCCUUGCACGUCACAGCCCCAGGGCAGCAUCAGUGCGGUGAGCUGUUCUAGCACGUUCAUCCUGUCGACUGGAAGAAACAAAGAGCAGUUCAGGGACUGGAUGGUCUCAAAACUGAGGAAGAACAAAGGGGUGUUAGGGGAGGAAUGAUCUUUAUGUUUGGUGGCUCUGCAGCCUACUCAAUCUGUAAUGAGAAUCUACUUAAUUUUUGGUUUUUUUUUGGAAAGUAUUCAAGCAUAUACAAACAUUAUGCAGAAGAAUAUAAUGAAACUAUAUAUACUAAUAAGACACCUUCAAAAACAUUAAAUCAUGGGCAAUCUUGCUUAAUCCUGACCUAAUUCCUCCUGUAUUAUUCUAAAGCAAAUCAUGGACAAUAUGAAUCAGUUCUUUCCUUUUUUUUCUUUUAACCAUAAUCACAUAUCACUAUCACACCUAAAAAAUCAUAUCACCAAUUCCUUAAGCAAAUUUGUCUUGCACAUCGGCUACUCUUGACAGUUGCCUCUUCAAAGGAGGAAAGCAGGUGGGAUACCGCCUCAAAGUGCAGUGAGCAUAUGUAAACUGGUGACUUAAAAGACAUGGGCCUGUGUUCCUUAAGGGCAGUUUAAGAAAGGCCUAAAUGAUUUUCCUAAGGAGGGUGCAUCUAGUAAGGCACACAUGGGUAUAAAAGACCUCAGGACCCAGGCUAUGUAUUUCGACUACCCAGUAUACAUAUUCAAGUAUCUAAUUUUGGCUGAAUUGUCAUUCUUACUCAGUUCAUGAAGAGCUUCAUUUCCAUCUUUUUCCAGGUAAUUUUCUGAUAAAUCAAGAAUGCUCAGUUUGACCAAAUUGUGAAGAUUCUGAGCUGGGGAAAAAAAGUAAUCCAAAAUAAAAAGAUUUUCAGAGACGGGGUUUCACCAUUUUGGUCAGACUGGUCUCGAACUCCUGACCUUGUGAUCCACCUGCCUUGGCUUCCCAAAGUGCUGGGAUUACAGGCGUGAGCCACCGUGCCCGGCCUCUGCAAAGCAUUUCUAACCCCAGAGUUAUUGAUGAGCAAGAUGUUUUGCUUUGGUGAAGAAGUAAGAUAUGUUCCAUUUAAGGCUCUGAAGAUGGGGAGAGAAUUCUGGAUGAUCCAGGUGGGCCCUUAAUAAUGGUCCCUUAUUACAGAGAGCCAGAGGGAGAUUUGAAACUGACAGGAGAAGUCAGUAAGACCAUGAAUGCAGAGAUUCGAGUAAUACGGCUACGAGCCAAAAGAUGCCAGCAGCCACCUGCAGCUGGAAGAGGCAUAAAUGGAUUCUCCCCUAAAGCUCCCAGGAGUGUGGCCCUGCUGACACCCUGAUUUCAGCCCCAUGAUACUGAUGUUGGACUGGUCCUCAGA
This is a long non-coding RNA of Homo sapiens (human), 3467 nucleotides long. Lineage: Eukaryota; Metazoa; Chordata; Mammalia; Primates; Hominidae. The record is from Ensembl.